RNAcentral lists this ribosomal RNA (492 nucleotides) under uncultured bacterium. RNAcentral describes it as "partial 16S ribosomal RNA". It matches the Rfam family "Bacterial small subunit ribosomal RNA", at positions 29 to 507 of the family's 1533-position model. The record is from RNAcentral.
AGUGAACGCUGGCGGUAGGCCUAACACAUGCAAGUCGAACGGCAGCACAGUAAGAGCUUGCUCUUACGGGUGGCGAGUGGCGGACGGGUGAGGAAUACAUCGGAAUCUACUUUUUCGUGGGGGAUAACGUAGGGAAACUUACGCUAAUACCGCAUACGACCUACGGGUGAAAGCAGGGGAUCUUCGGACCUUGCGCGAUUGCAUGAGCCGAUGUCGGAUUAGCUAGUUGGCGGGGUAAAGGCCCACCAAGGCGACGAUCCGUAGCUGGUCUGAGAGGAUGGUCAGCCACACUGGGACUGAGACACGGUCCAGACUCCGACGCGAGGCAGCAGUGGGGAAUAUUGGGCAAUGGGCGCAAGCCUGAUCCAGCCAUACCGCGUGGGUGAAGAAGGCCUUCGGGUUGUAAAGCCCUUUUGUUGGGAAAGAAAAGCAGCAGGUUAAUACCCCGCUGUUCUGACGGUACCCAAAGAAUAAGCACCGGCUAACUUCGUG